RNAcentral lists this transfer RNA (82 nucleotides) under Penicillium nalgiovense. It matches the Rfam family "tRNA". From Rfam's summary of the family: Transfer RNA (tRNA) molecules are approximately 80 nucleotides in length. Their secondary structure includes four short double-helical elements and three loops (D, anti-codon, and T loops). Further hydrogen bonds mediate the characteristic L-shaped molecular structure. tRNAs have two regions of fundamental functional importance: the anti-codon, which is responsible for specific mRNA codon recognition, and the 3' end, to which the tRNAs corresponding amino acid is attached (by aminoacyl-tRNA synthetases). tRNAs cope with the degeneracy of the genetic code in two manners: having more than one tRNA (with a specific anti-codon) for a particular amino acid; and 'wobble' base-pairing, i.e. permitting non-standard base-pairing at the 3rd anti-codon position. The record is from Rfam by way of RNAcentral. Lineage: Eukaryota; Fungi; Ascomycota; Eurotiomycetes; Eurotiales; Aspergillaceae.
GGCAGUUUGGCCGAGUGGUCUAAGGCGCUCGCCUGCUAAGCGAGUCUCUUCGGAGGCCAGAGUUCGAAUCUCUGAGCUGUCG